Molecule: long non-coding RNA, 770 nt
Organism: Chlorocebus sabaeus (green monkey)
Lineage: Eukaryota; Metazoa; Chordata; Mammalia; Primates; Cercopithecidae
Source: RefSeq, a predicted model, not a curated record
AGGCGGAGUCGUGGACUUGGAGGGCGGAGCUUGGAAUCUGAAGGGGCGGGGCCUCGUCUGGGUAGAGGAUUGAGGCCUGGAGGGCCGGGGCUUGGGGGAGGUUCCCAGAAGGGGCGGGGCUUGUGUAUUGGGUGAGGUCUGAGGCCUGGAAGGCAGAGACUUAAGGCCUGGAGGGCGGAGCUUUUGCCCGGAGGGGCGGGGCUUAUGAACUGGAGGUGGGGGUGGAGCUUGUGUCUGGGGCCAAGUCUGGGCCUGGAAACGCCGGGCCUGAGGUCUAGAGGGGCGGGUUUUGGGCCCGGAGCGGUUUGGAGGUAAGAGAGAUGGCGCUCAGGACGAGAGGGUUCCCUGCCCUGCCCCAGGAGCCUGCGUGGGAGAAGGCGUGAGGAGGGGAAGGAAGGUUAUGGUACCUGCACACCGAGAGGCUGGAGCGCGAGACCGCAGCUGCUUCUGGAUGCAGGGUCUAUGCACCUGCUCCCCCUUCCAGCGGGGCCUCCCCAACAUCCUCUGCACCUGGUUUCUCCUCUGCACCCUUCAGCCGCGGAUCUGGGAGCACUUCUGCAGGUGCUCCCUAGGAGCUCAGGCCACAUCACAGCCCACAUGACCAUCUGUGAACGUUUCUCACCCUGGGUUACUCAUCCGCCACACUGGAAGGCAACCCUGUGGCGUGUCCUGGUCUCUGCCUCACCCUGAAGAAUGAGAAACCUGUUUAAAGUGAAGUGUGAUGGAAUCAAGUCAGACGUGAGGAAGGACCUACCUCCUUGGUCAAAGCU